GCCGGGUGCAGUGGCGCGUGCCUGUAGUUUCAGCUACUCGGGAGGCUGAGCCUGGAGGAUCUCUUGAGUCCAUGAGUUUUGGGCUGUAGUGCUCUAUGCUGAUCCGGUGUCUGCAUUGAGUUCGGCAUCAAUAUGGUGACCUCCUGGGAGCAGGUAACCACCAGGUUGCCUAAGGAGGGGUGAACCGGCCCAGGACAGAAAUGGAGCAGAUCAAAAUUCCCGUGAUGAUCAGUAGUGGGAUCACGCCUGUGAAUAGCCACUGCACUCCAGCCUGGGCAACAUAGUGAGACCCCGUCUCUU
Molecule: unclassified non-coding RNA, 300 nt
Organism: Callithrix jacchus (white-tufted-ear marmoset)
Lineage: Eukaryota; Metazoa; Chordata; Mammalia; Primates; Cebidae
Rfam family: Metazoan signal recognition particle RNA
About the family: The signal recognition particle (SRP) is a universally conserved ribonucleoprotein. It is involved in the co-translational targeting of proteins to membranes. The eukaryotic SRP consists of a 300-nucleotide 7S RNA and six proteins: SRPs 72, 68, 54, 19, 14, and 9.
Source: Ensembl